RNAcentral lists this ribosomal RNA (482 nucleotides) under uncultured bacterium. RNAcentral's name for it is "partial 16S ribosomal RNA". It matches the Rfam family "Bacterial small subunit ribosomal RNA", at positions 30 to 507 of the family's 1533-position model. The record is from RNAcentral.
AUUGAACGCUGGCGGCAUGCCUUACACAUGCAAGUCGAACGGUAACAGGUCUUCUGCUGCUGACGAGUGGCGCACGGGUGAGUAAUACAUCGGAACGUGCCCAGACCUGUGGGAUAACGAGGCCAAAGCUUUGCUAAUACCGCAUCCGAUCUAAGGAUUAAAGCAGGGGACCGCAAGGCCUUGUGCGUUUUGACCGGCCGAUGGCAGAUUAGGUAGUUGGUGUGGUAAAAGCUUACAAAGGCCACGAUCUGGAGCGGGUCUGAGAGGACGACCCGCCACACUGGGACUGAGACACGGCCCAGACUCCUACGGGAGGCAGCAGUGGGGAAUUUUGGACAAUGGGCGAAAGCCUGAUCCAGCAAUGCCGCGUGAAGGAUGAAGGCCUUCGGGUUGUAAACUGCUUUUGUACGGAAAGAAAAGGUUCUGGCUAAUACCUGGGGGACAUGACGGUACCGUAAGAAUAAGCACCGGCUAACUACGUG